UACGUAGGGGGCAAGCGUUGUCCGGAUUUAUUGGGCGUAAAGAGCGUGUAGGCGGCCAGGUAGGUCAGCUGUGAAAACUCGAGGCUCAACCUCGAGCUGUCGGCUGAAACCAUCUGGCUAGAGUCCGGAAGAGGCGAGUGGAAUUCCUGGUGUAGCGGUGAAAUGCGCAGAUAUCAGGAGGAACACCAAUUGCGAAGGCAGCUCGCUGGGACGUUACUGACGCUGAGACGCGAAAGCGUGGGGAGCAAACAGG
RNAcentral lists this ribosomal RNA (253 nucleotides) under uncultured bacterium. Its description in RNAcentral is "partial 16S ribosomal RNA". It matches the Rfam family "Bacterial small subunit ribosomal RNA", at positions 524 to 776 of the family's 1533-position model. The record is from RNAcentral.